Molecule: small nuclear RNA, 103 nt
Organism: Cercocebus atys (sooty mangabey)
Lineage: Eukaryota; Metazoa; Chordata; Mammalia; Primates; Cercopithecidae
Source: Ensembl
GUGCUCGCUUGGGCAGCAUAUAUACUAAAACUGGAAUGAUACAAGAUUAGCAUGGUGCCUGUAGAAGGAUGACAUGCAAAUUCAUGAAGUGUUCUAUUAAAAA